RNAcentral lists this ribosomal RNA (98 nucleotides) under Acanthosepion pharaonis. Lineage: Eukaryota; Metazoa; Mollusca; Cephalopoda; Sepiida; Sepiidae. The record is from RNAcentral.
AGUGAAACACCGGUUCUAGUACGAUCAUCAAAGUUAAGCAACGUCGAGCCUUAUCAAUACCUAGAUGGGUGACUGCUUGGGAAUAGAAGGUGCUGCAA